RNAcentral lists this unclassified non-coding RNA (329 nucleotides) under soil metagenome. RNAcentral's name for it is "partial contains 5.8S ribosomal RNA, internal transcribed spacer 2, and large subunit ribosomal RNA". The stretch from base 1 to 120 matches the Rfam family "5.8S ribosomal RNA", at positions 35 to 154 of the family's 154-position model. The record is from RNAcentral.
GAUGAAGAACGCAGCGAAAUGCGAUAAGUAAUGUGAAUUGCAGAAUUCAGUGAAUCAUCGAAUCUUUAAACGCACAUUGCGCCCCUUGGUAUUCCGAGGGGCAUGCCUGUUCGAGCGUCAUUAUAACCCCUCAAGCUCAGCUUGGUGUUGGGGCCUGCUGCACUGGCAGCCCUUAAAAUCAGUGGCGGCGCCAUCUGGCUCUAAGCGUAGUAAUUCUUCUCGCUAUGGAGUCCUGGUGGAUGCUUGCCAUCAACCCCCAAUUUUUCUAUGGUUGACCUCGGAUCAGGUAGGGAUACCCGCUGAACUUAAGCAUAUCAAUAAGCGGAGGA